This 274-nucleotide ribosomal RNA is filed under the name uncultured bacterium. RNAcentral's name for it is "partial 16S ribosomal RNA". It matches the Rfam family "Bacterial small subunit ribosomal RNA", at positions 523 to 796 of the family's 1533-position model. The record is from RNAcentral.
AUACAGAGGGUGCGAGCGUUAAUCGGAAUUACUGGGCGUAAAGCGCGCGUAGACGGCUUAUUAAGUCAGAUGUGAAAUCCCCGGGCUCAACCUGGGAACUGCAUCUGAUACUGGUAAGCUAGAGUUUUGGAGAGGGAAGUAGAAUUUCAGGUGUAGCGGUGAAAUGCAUAGAGAUCUGAAGGAAUACCAGUGGCGAAGGCGACUUCCUGGCCAAAAACUGACGCUGAGGUGCGAAAGCGUGGGUAGCAAACGGGAUUAGAUACCCUAGUAGUCC